Molecule: ribosomal RNA, 234 nt
Filed under: uncultured bacterium
Lineage: Bacteria
Description: partial 16S ribosomal RNA
Rfam family: Bacterial small subunit ribosomal RNA
Source: RNAcentral
GACGAACGCUGGCGGCGUGCUUAACACAUGCAAGUCGAGCGGUAAGGCCCUUUCGGGGGUACGACGAGCGGCGAACGGGUGAGUAACACGUGGGUGGACCUGCCCUCCAGCUCUGGGAGUAAGCCUGGGAAACCGGGUACUAAUACUGGAUAUGACUCCAUGACGCAUGUUGUGGGGUGGAAAGCCUUGUGCGGCUGAGGAUGGGCCCGCGGCCUAUCAGCUUGUUGGUGGGGU